UAGGGAAUCUUCGGCAAUGGGGGCAACCCUGACCGAGCAACGCCGCGUGAGUGAAGAAGGUUUUCGGAUCGUAAAGCUCUGUUGUAAGUCAAGAACGGGUGUGAGAGUGGAAAGUUCACACUGUGACGGUAGCUUACCAGAAAGGGACGGCUAACUACGUGCCAGCAGCCGCGGUAAUACGUAGGUCCCGAGCGUUGUCCGGAUUUAUUGGGCGUAAAGCGAGCGCAGGCGGUUUGAUAAGUCUGAAGUUAAAGGCUGUGGCUCAACCAUAGUUCGCUUUGGAAACUGUCAAACUUGAGUGCAGAAGGGGAGAGUGGAAUUCCAUGUGUAGCGGUGAAAUGCGUAGAUAUAUGGAGGAACACCGGUGGCGAAAGCGGCUCUCUGGUCUGUAACUGACGCUGAGGCUCGAAAGCGUGGGGAGCGAACAGGAUUAGAUACCCUGGUAGUCCACGCCGUAAACGAUGAGUGCUAGGUGUUGGAUCCUUUCCGGGAUUCAGUGCCGCAGCUAACGCAUUAAGCACUCCGCCUGGGGAGUACGACCGCAAGGUUGA
Molecule: ribosomal RNA, 551 nt
Filed under: uncultured bacterium
Lineage: Bacteria
Description: partial 16S ribosomal RNA
Rfam family: Bacterial small subunit ribosomal RNA
Source: RNAcentral